This is a long non-coding RNA of Polypterus senegalus (gray bichir), 476 nucleotides long. RefSeq lists it as uncharacterized. The record is from RefSeq and is a predicted model, not a curated record. NCBI's taxonomy places the organism in Eukaryota, Metazoa, Chordata, Cladistia, Polypteriformes, Polypteridae. The transcript has 3 exons.
GGCUGAGAAAGUGGAACCGGGACCGGCCGAACUCCAUGAAGACCUGCACGCCAAGGAGCACCGUACAAAGGGACACGCAGAGCCUCACGAAAAGACUGACCCUACUGAUUAAUCCAGUGAAGAUGUGCAUGCCAGAUUGCGCCCUAAGUGGAACUGUAUUGUGUCCAAAAGCAACUGGUUCUUGUAUUUGCAAAAUACAGUAUAAUGUGGCAUCUUAGAAAAGCCUGAUUACAUGGACAGUAUCUCUCGCACUGCACAACACUUGGACCCCAGUGUAGACCGUUAGGAGUUGCAUAAGUGAUCACUGAAGUUCUGUCUGGAUUUUAUGGGUUUUUAUCAGCCCAGCCCUUUUUACCUACACCUCUGCACCACUGUGUGUGGAUUAUCUACAACUAGUUCUGUUUGUACUGUUGCUAUCAGGAGGAAAUGAACAAGAUUCCUGGAGGAUAUCACUCACAACCAUGCUCUUUCAGCAA